AGAGCUGAGAGAUGGAUCGGCCUUCCCCGUGGAGCACUCUGAGACAUGUCAUAGCUCAUUGACAUCUCGCAAUACAGGUCAAAAAGGUACAUCCCAGCCUUCUUGCACAUAGAAACACUACACAGCACUUCAGCUGUAUGUUUGGGGGCCAUUUUAAACAGCAAAAUCAUCAACAGGAAGCAGAAAAUUGUAAAAAUUGUGGCACUAAAUAGACCAUGUAAAGGACACAUGUUUGCAAUAAGAAAGCUGAAACAAGAAGGGGGAGUGUCACCUUAUUUGAUCCAGCUAGAAACUCAGGUGCUGGUAUUCCAGCAACACUCAGGCGGCUGCUCCAGGAGGCUGCAGAGGGGUCCUUUUUAGCCGUCAACAAAACUGGCUAUGGUCACGCCCAUUGGGAAACUCAUUGCUGCCUUCAAGGUGGAAGUUAAAGUCAUCACAGUUCUUUCAUGAAAGGAGAAAACUUCUACAUAGAAGAUGAGAAGCUUCUUUGGGGCAGAGACUAUAGACUCAGAAGCUGUAGGAAUAUUCAGGCACAGACACCAGACCCAGCUUCAUCUCUAACUUGUGGCAAAGGACAGUACAUCCUGGGAUGGGACCCUAUGCUCCCCUAUGCCAUUUAGACAGAGCCUGGGGAGAGUGACUUCCCAGGGUAUCCAUGUUGGAAUCUCUCAUUUGAUUCUUAUUCAAAUGUAAGUCAUUCUCCGAGGCCCAUAUAAAGUCAACCUCAUCC
RNAcentral lists this long non-coding RNA (730 nucleotides) under Homo sapiens (human). Its description in RNAcentral is "long intergenic non-protein coding RNA 1905". The record is from RNAcentral. Lineage: Eukaryota; Metazoa; Chordata; Mammalia; Primates; Hominidae.